RNAcentral lists this non-coding RNA (25 nucleotides) under Cricetulus griseus (Chinese hamster). Lineage: Eukaryota; Metazoa; Chordata; Mammalia; Rodentia; Cricetidae. RNAcentral also lists the same sequence under 2 other names. The record is from RNAcentral.
GGUUGGUCCGAGAGUAGUGGUGUUU